UUCUCCGAUAUAUAAGGGGAAGGGCUUCAACAUUAAAAUUAUUAUCGGCUUGUGCCGAGGGACAAUCCGCGCCGACGGUAACGUUUCGGCCCGUAAUAAGGAGACGGCCAUGUUAUAUAUGUUGGCCUUACCAUCUUUUUUUCGGUUGGCAAAAGGUCGAAACGCUAUCCUUAUUACAUUUAGCCAGGUUAGUUAAAUGGGGCGGCGCCUCUUCCGAAAUAUCUGGUAAAAGUUUUCUGGUGUGCAUUUUAUAUUUAAUCCACUAAAAACCUCCACCAGCUAUUUGACGAAUUGGACAACGGCGCAAAAAUAUAAACCUGGACCAGCGAUACAACCGCAUAAUUCAUUUCUAAUUUGCUGCAGGGAAAUCUUUAGGCGUAUUACGUAUUCGCCAGUUCUUUGGAGCAGAAAUUCGACGGACUUUCAUAUAAAGGCAUCCAAUAGUGUUGCGGUAUAACAAAGGCGCAUAUACCCCUUAUUCGGUACCAAUAGGAAUCGAUUCCUGUGUAAUGCUCGGAAUAUCUGUGCCUCAUCCAAGCGGACCAUGCAUCGACCUAAAGCCUGGCCGCACCUGCAAUAUGUUGGUGCUAUUACUUAGCGUUCAUUGGUGCUUGUGAAAAAUAAAAUUUUCUAUUUGUGAGAGUAGGUUUAAAUUUUAAUCCCUAUAUGUUCUGAGUAAAUUGGGUAUAUGUUCUGAGUAAAUUGGGUGGUUAUAUGUACAAAACCAGACCACAAAGAAGAGAAUAUCGAGACAAAGCCACCCUCUACCGUAAUAAUUGUAUCCUCUUUCGUUUUUCCCUGCUGGUGCUAAGUCGCUAUUUUUUUUCAAAAGUAUAAUAUUACUGGAAACGAUCGGUUUAGGUGAUCAAACAAUAAUACUGGUGAGGGUGGCGUGAUGCCGCAUGAUCGUUUGCAGAUUUGCACAUCCAAUGUGCUUCAAAAGUAUGGCAAUUAACAAUUUAGCACCGAGAAGCUGCUAAAUUGUAACUGUGGUGCCUUUGACAAAGUCCCUCUUCAAUUUCAGUCUGGCUUUUGUUUAGCAUUUUGGAAAGGCUGAAACUAGCUGCCUUAACUCUGGUACAAGGCAGCCACACAACCAUUACGGGCUACGUGGUUAAAUUGUCAAUUACCCACCAGCGCCAAGGUUACCGGAUGCGUGCUCGUCACCCGGUAAUGCAACCCAACGCGAAAUAGCCAUGUGCCCAGACGGGUGUAUCCAAAAGGAGGUCCAUGGCACUCCUUUGCAAAUUGGUCAUAUCUGGAAACGAGCCACGCUGGCGAUGCCAAAUGCAAUUACUACACCUGUUAAUUAUAUUAAUAUAGCUUUAAACGCCCGAACCAUUCCCAAAUAGUGUUAAAUUCAGAUUACCGUUUUUUUAAACGCCAAAUUCUGCCUGUCUUUCAAACUCAGAUGGAUGUGCGAUGUGGGUGGUUUUUGUCCAUUUUGGGGCAAAAUUGUAAAUGGGAGAGUUUAUAUAGAUUGAAAGGCAGUAAUUAACUAAAUGCCUGGGAGUUCAAAUACUUUUUGUCAUUUCCAAUCCGCAACGCAUCCAUAAAUUUCCCAAUUCUGAAAUAUUAUUCCAAAAACCAGGCAACCAAAAAAUGCCAUAUCAUAAGUCAACCUUUCCAAAAACUGCGCCCAAACUGUUGGGAAUAAUAACGCAAAGCAGAUAUUUUAUUUUUGGCUCGCACUUUUUACGUGCAAGAAACCAGAAAUUGCAACGUAAUCUCGGGGAGGCCGAGGACAAAUAUUCCGGAACACGUCCGGCCUUUCCCUGGGAUCUCUUUGGGACCAAUUAGCCGCGAAAAUCAAAACCGGGUUUUAAAGCCGUUCAGGCCAGAUUAGAUCGUUGGUGGUUACCUUUGUUUGUUAUGGUUCGCCAACGCGGUUGUGCAAAGGUUAAAUUCCUAUAAAAAAUAUUACGGCGCUGGGGUAUAAAUCGCGUUAAAAUUUGUCAAAAUUUUACAGCGCAAUAUUAAAGCAGUUUUUUUCGCCCAUUUAUUUAAUGCAAAAAUGUACCAAGAAAAAAUACCCCUAAAAUAUUAUAUAACCUCCUUUUGUCAACCUACACCGCAUUCGCAAAGCAAGGAGGGCGAAAAAUCUUGCCAAAUGCAAAUCGAAAAGAAUAUAUCCAAAUUAAGUGCCGGGAUGCUCCUUGGGGGUAAAGGCCAAUAAAAACGAGCCCGUUAAAAAACUCCCGCAGAAAAAUUAGCAUUAAAUUCACCCCUAAUUUUUCAACCAUAUUAAUAAUAAUAUCGAUAAUCCGUAAAGAUAUUAAAACAAGGAUUCCAAAUAAAUUAUAUCGUAUUAUAACUUCGCACCGGUUAAUUAAUAUACCUUUUUUUUUAAUCGUGGCCGACCAAUCGCUUCCACAAAAAUUAAAUAGGCCUAUUACAAAGCCGGUUGCAAUUUUAAAUGGCGUGCGCCCGACUUUUAUACGUAAUAACCGAACGUAAUAAAUACUGUCGCUGCUAAUUGGAAUUGGAUAAGGUAUAUCUUAACGGAAAACCGGAUGGUAUUUCGUAUAUAUAAGGAAGUAAAUAUUACUGUUUAUUACCCUGGUGGAUUAAUUAGCCUACCUGUCGUUAAAAGCCGGUAUGAAAAACUUGGAAGUAUAGCAGCCUUUUGGCCCGGCCAGAUUUGGAAGUGGACAAAUUAGUUUAACCUUUUAUCGUUAGUUUUUUAUUUGAAAUGUAGUAAAAAAAUUGCAAUAAAAUAUUUGGUGAUAAAUGCAAGUUAGCCCUCCAAAAGAGGUUGUUUGUAUUAUUUUCAGGUAUAUUAUUUAAUUGCAAACCUAGUUCGACAUUUAAUUGUUAUAAUUCGUUUUUUUAAAACCAGCGGCUUUUUCCAUUUAUUUUUAUAUAAAUUACACCAGGAUUUAUUUGCAAUUUCCCAAAAACUAGGUAAGGGAAAGCCCAAAACGCCUUAUAUUUGUUGGGUAACGUUAAACCGCCCGCUAAUUAUAAUAAAUAAGUUAAAGUUAAUUUACGGCAUGGAUUAUUUUAUCGGCUCGGUUUGCCCGAAAAUUGUAUAUAUUUGAGCCGCAAUUUAUUGGUUCGCUCGUAUAAUCCGCAAAAAAAAGGCAACUAACUAGCUUUUGGAAACCAAAGGUAAGGUUAUACGGUAUAUAAUUAAUAUAUAAAACCCAAUUAUUAUUAUCGUUUGUUUGCGUCUUUAAUUUCAGUAACGCAGACCGUAAAUUACUUUUUGUUUGACUUUUUUCCCCCAGAAUAUUGGGAUAAGGAAAUAUACCGAACAAUUAAAUUAAUUAAUACCCGUAACCGGCUAAUAUUAGACGGACAUCCAAUUAAUAUCUUCCUUAAUAUAUUGGAUCCCCUAGGCGGGGAAUUGGAACAUUAAAAUUAAGAGAUUCGUUUACCCCAAACGCGGACCAUAACGCUGGCCUAAAUAAACGGAAAAUUAA
This 3425-nucleotide small RNA is filed under the name Pyricularia oryzae. RNAcentral describes it as "Magnaporthe oryzae sRNA M_BR32_EuGene_00135121". The record is from RNAcentral. Lineage: Eukaryota; Fungi; Ascomycota; Sordariomycetes; Magnaporthales; Pyriculariaceae.